UACGUAGGGUGCGAGCGUUGUCCGGAAUUAUUGGGCGUAAAGGGCUCGUAGGCGGUUUGUCGCGUCGGGAGUGAAAACCAGGUGCUUAACACCUGGCUUGCUUUCGAUACGGGCAGACUAGAGGUAUUCAGGGGAGAACGGAAUUCCUGGUGUAGCGGUGAAAUGCGCAGAUAUCAGGAGGAACACCGGUGGCGAAGGCGGUUCUCUGGGAAUGACCUGACGCUGAGGAGCGAAAGCGUGGGGAGCGAACAGG
Molecule: ribosomal RNA, 253 nt
Filed under: uncultured bacterium
Lineage: Bacteria
Description: partial 16S ribosomal RNA
Rfam family: Bacterial small subunit ribosomal RNA
Source: RNAcentral